UGUAUGUGUGUCUUUUUAAUAAAUAUUUUUCUACCUUGAAGUCAUACAAAUAUUUCUUUCACAUUUUCAUUUAAAAGUUUUACAGUUUUGCCUUCAAUACUUCGGUCCUUAGUUCAUCUGGAAUUUAUUAUGAUGUAUAUAUAUCCACUAAUCCAGUGUCAUAAAUUCAAACUUAUUGAAUUAUAUAUCCUUUACCCACUGGUCUUUAAUGACCAUUCUUCACAUACAAGGGGUCCUGACACUCUUUCCAUUCUAUUCUAUUGGCCCAGUUGUCUACUCCCUCUCUCACCAAUAAUAGCACAUGGUCUUAAAUCCAGUGGUGUAUAUAAUAUCUUCUCAUGUAGUCAGGAAAUUCCCCAACUUCCUCUUUAUUUUCAAUGGUAUUUUGGCUCUUCUUGAACUUGUGUUCCUUCAUUUCAUUUUAAUAUCAUUGUGUCCAAUUCUAUAAAACAUUUUGUUGAAAUUUUUCUAGAAAUAGCAUGAAACUAUAGAUCACAUUGGGGAAAACUGGCAUUUUAAUGAUAUUGAUGCUUCCUAACCACGAAUGUAUCUCUCCAUCUGUGCAGCACUUCUUCAACUUCUUUUAAUGAUUUUAAUUUUCCCCACUAAGAUCUUGCAUGCCUUUCCUUUUUGAGAAUUUAUUCCUGAUUACAGUGGACCCUUCAACAAUGCGAGGGUUAGUAGCACUGACCACCUGUGCAGUCAAAAAUCUGCACAUAAUUUUUGACUCCUCCAAAACUUUACUAAUAGCCUACUGUUGAUCAGAAGUCUUACCAAUAACAUAAAGUUAUUUAACAUAUAUUUUAUAUUUUUAUGUGUUAUAUACUGUACUCUUACAGUAAAGUAAGCUAGAGAAAAGAAAAUGUUGGCCAGGUGCGGUGGCCCAUGGCUGUAAUUCCAGCAGUUUGGGAGGCUGAGGCAGGAGAAGUGCUUGAGACAAGGAGUUGGAGACCAGCCUCAGCAACAUAGCGAGACCCCAUCUCUACAAAAAAUUAAAAAUUUAGCCAGGUAGGGUGGCGUGCACCUGUAGUCCCAGCUACUUGGGAGGCUGAGGUGGAGAAUCGCUUGAGCCCAGGAGGUUGAAGCUACAGUGAGCCAUGAUAACACUGCACUCUAGCCUGGGCAACAGAGCAAGACCUUGUCUCAGAAAAGCAAAGAAAAUGUUAUUUAAAAAAUCAUAAAGAAGAGAAAAUAUAUUUACUAUUCAUUAAGUGGAAGUGGAGCAUCAUAAGGGUCUUCAUCCUCAUGUCUUCAUGGUGAAUAUGCUAAGGAGGAGGAAGGGGAGGAGAGGUUGGUCUCGCUGUCUCAAGGGUGGCAAAGGCAGAAGAAAAUCAUAUAUAAGUAGACCUGCACAGUUCAAGCCCAUGUUGUUCAAAGGUCAACUGUACUGUAAGUUUGUUAUAUUAACCAGUUAAUCACAUUUCUACUUUUUUGUUUUUAUAGAAAAUGCAAUAGAUUUGUUUAUAUAUUUAGCCAACCACUGUGCCAAACUCUUAAUUCUUAUGUUUUAGAUUAUUUUUCUCUGUAGACAAUUGUAUCAUCUAUGAAUAAUGAAAGUUUGCUUUAUUUCAUUCCUAUCCUUCCAACUUUUUUUUUGGUCUGUUGUUAAAAGCCCCCCUAUCCCAUGCCUAAGUAAUAAGUAAUCUCAAUAUUACAUUCCAUCUCAUAUAAUAAAAUUUGACUUCCUAAAAGGGCUUUCUUCUUUUUAAUUCAAUGUCAAUGCUGGAAUUUCAGUUCUUAGCCUUGAAACCCUGGUGAAAAACUUCUCAGCAAGGUAAGAAGGAAAAAAAUGUUCUCCCCUGCUCCUGAAGCUGGGGAGAACAAUAAAUGAAAACUGUUGUCAUAAAUGGUUAUUUCUAACAAUUUUUCAAACCCCUAGACUUCAAAUAUUUUGGACAGGACCUGACAAAAUGACCCUUAAUCUGUAAAACAUCUGUACUUUUGACCACUCAUCUUUCUUAAUAAUUCAGUUCUCUGGUGAUAAUGUUUGAGCUUAAAAUCUCUAUCUUCAGAAGGUAACGUGAUUUGUGAAUUUUCUGUCAAAUGAGAAAAGAAUCACUGGCAUUGCCCUCUUCCCACACAUGCAUAGGAUAAAAUAGCUCUACUGGACUUUUUAUUAAUCAAAGAGCCCGAGAGACAGCUGAAUGGCUGAACCAAGCAGAGAGUGGAAACUUGGGGAGGGUAAUUCCUUGCUGGGCCUUAAAAGGAGUCCACAAGAUAGGAAAAAAACGAAAAAGCCAAAUAAGAUGAACCUCUAUUCAGGCCCCAAUGAGAGGCUGCUUGACUCUGAUCUUUCGUUAGCUGGCUCAAAAUUUUGUUCUUAAAGAAUUAUUUUUACUCAAAAUCAAGAACUGUUAGAAAACAAGAAAAAUUAUGGAGUUUUGUUGUUGAUUUCCACCUCUCUACAUAUAUAUAUGAAAUACAUAUCUCCUCCCGAUACACAUGCACACACGCAAAAACAUAUUUAACUGAAACAACAGUUUCAUGAAACUAUAGUUACUCUCAUUACCUGUGAUGCAGGCAAGUAUUUUCAAUUGUAUUUUAUUCUAUUUCAUUCUUCUUGGAAAAAAAGUCUUUUGGUCUCAACAUAAAUGGGUUCUGACCUGCAGUUUCAAGCCAAUACGUUACACAGUAAGAGUAAAUGUAGGGUUUCUCCCAGUUUUAUCUGGCAGUCCCAAAGUCAGGAUCAGAGUAACCGAUGGAGCAUCAUCUGUACGCUCCACGUCUGAGGAGGAGGUCUGGGGAAAGAUCCAACGUGUAGGACUGGCGCGGAGGCUCAGGCCUGUAAUCCCAGCACUUUAAGAGGCGGAGGCGGGAGGAUAACUUGAGGUCAACAGUUCGAGACAAGCCUGGCAAACAUGGUGAAACCCCGUCUCUACUAAAAAUACAGAAAUUAUGCAGGCGUAGUGGUGCGCACCUGUAGAUCCAGCUCCUCGGGAGGCUGAGGCACGAAAAUCGCUUGAACGCGGGAGGCGGAGGUUGCAGUGAGACAAGAUCACACCACUGCACUCCAGCCUGGGCGACAGAGCGAGACCCUGUCUCAAAUAAAAAAAUAAUAAUAAUAAUCCAAUGUAUCCCUAGUCUGGCUUUCAGGGUCUUAGAUGAGGUUCGGAAGUGGACUUAGGAGCCUUAGGAGCGCAGCCAGUGCUGUGGAUUCCCACAUCCACGGGACCUGCGGUUUCGGGUUAUUCCACUCAGGGAUAGAUGACGUCCCUCAUUUCUACCUACCAGUGGGGUGGUCAAGAUUCUCAUUUAUCAAGUCAGUUGGAGUGGGCUUAAGUAAGUUCUCAGCCAAGGCUGUGGGGUCUGGAAGACCAGAUAUCCCGACCAAAAGCCCCCCCUCCCACUCCUUUCACACGCCUGCCGCAGAGGUGCACGGGUGCGAGUGGGGAAAUGAGGCAAGAAGCAGAUGGGGCGGCACCGAGAGAAGAGAAACUAUCCUAGAGGAAAAGCUCGAGCUGUUACCCCUCCCAACUUCUUCCGCCUUCCGCCUUCCCCGUUCCCCCUCUUUCCCCUCUUGCCCCUCUCCAGCUUUUCUGGUCCAACCCUCUUCUGCGCCUAACACUGGCACCUCCUUUUCUUCCGGCUGAUGAAUAAUUGUCCGCAUAGCAGCCUCUCUGGGGCACUGAGGGGCGGGAAGGUUAGAAGGAGCCAGGGCUAGAGUCCUGGAAGGUGGCAAUCAGGUCGCAGGGCCACAGGAGUCACUCUGGGACUCUCUCUUCCGGUGUUUCUCCAGCGCCAAGCGGGAGAAGACGAAGCCUGGGAGCUGGGACUGGAGGAGCGGGAAGCGCUGUAUCGGGACCACGGCUCUGGGACCAGGAACAACGCAGACUCUCCAGAGCCAAUGUCUACUUCAGCCAGCUCAAGGGCGCGACAACCUGGCGCCGAGCAUCUCAGGCCGCCGCGGGGACCCCCCCUAAGGGGCUCGGGAACACCUGCCUACUCUAGAAGAGGCGGAGAAUAACCCCGUAGGGAGUUAAGCGGCCUCGGCCUACAGCGUUCCUCCCGCCUCCACGGCGCCGAGCCCUGAUUGACGUUCAGCCAGGCCAAUCAUAGCCUCAGUGUCUGAGGCGCGCGGAGCUGGAGCGCCCAGGGCAGGUCCGCGGAUCCCAAGGAGGCAAUCUGUCAGGCGCCGCCGCCCGGGCGGCAGUAUGCCUGAGGGGGUCCUCCGUGUUCGCGCCUCCCGCCGCCUGCACUGAAAGGUCUGUACCUGAGCCUGGAUACUUGAACAGAGGCAGACACUGCGGCUCAAAACCCCAAGGUGAAAAGAUGGUGUUUCCAUGAAAGAAAAGGAAAAGUGGCUAAUUCAGCUUGCAACUCAAGUGUUUUUCCGAAAGACAACUAUAUUUCAGCAUGCAGUAGAAGUGUUUUAUGGGUACAUCACAUUGUGUCACAAAGAAUAUUUUUUAAAUGUGCUUAAGGGUUGAGAUUUAGUAGAAAAUAAUUUUUACAACUUCAUCAAGGACAUUAUUUUAGUAAAACUGUUUUUUUUUUUUUACUACGAAUGUGUGGUGGUGAAGAAUACAAUGACUACUAAUAAAAUUUGGUGCCAUUGCCUUAAUUCGUGCUAAGACACCAGUCAUUUUACCCACCAUUGGAUAAAAUCCACCAUUUUUGCACCAUCAGUGCAAAUGUUAACACAGUUAACACAGUUGUUGAGGAUAAACCACCAGAUUCAAAAAAGUCAUAUAACACUUUUAAUGUUUCAGAACCCCUGUUGCCCAGAAUUCACAUAAAAGAAGAUCAUCAAUGGUCAAUUGAUGCUGAUACCUGAUGAAUGAAAGCAAAACAGGAUGUAUAGCCAUCUGUAGAUCAGUCCCUUUGUAAGGCUAAGGUACAAUUCUUUAGAUGACAUAUUAACUCAGUCUUUACGUUUGCACUUAAAUCUUUAAUUUGACAAGUUAUUGCAUCAUUGGAAAAUGCCAGCACUAUGCAUUCUUGUGGUGAUUUUUCAUCCAGCAGGUAUUCAGCAAUGUCAACUGUUCAAGCCUUUAUUAGUCUCUCUGUGAUUGUGUGUGCUCCUCUAGCCAAUACAAUAUGAUGGCUUAUCCUGUAAGAAGCUUUUAAAGAGUGUAUUACAUCUACAUUUAGGUUAUUUAAUUCCUUUUUUUAAUAAAUUCUGAAUGAUUGGUCCCAAAAUGAUACUGCAACUUUGUUGGAACCAUAUAAGUGUUUGAAAAUGUUUUACUGCACAAGACACAAUAUGAUAAAUUAUUAACAUCUAUAAAGCUGAACGAAAGAUCACUUUCAACAUAUUUUUGUUGUGUAUAGUUGUGCUCAGUUUCUUUGGAAUAGAUUUCUCCUUUUUAUGAGGAAUCAGAUAACUUGCUGAUAUGUCAAUGUCAUCCUUUUCAGCAUCUCUAGACAUAGGCGAUCUAGACACCAGAAAAUGUGUUUUCCCUUCUCCCUUUUUAAAGCCAACCAUCCACCCUAUUCAGAUAAAAUUUUUUAAUUAAAAACAUUUUUGAAAAAUAUAUUAUUGCAAAACAACAAAGUAAACAUACUUUUUGUUAUAUUUCUGUGUAAAAGGAAAAACUUUAGGAUUUAAAAAUGAUUUCUUGGAAGAUAAUGAGAUUACAGAGAUUAUAAGAGGUAUAACUGAAGAUAGCUGGUAAGAGCAUGGUAGAAAAGAAAUAAUUUCUGAAAACUACAUACUUAUACCGUAAACUCACUACCUUUGAAAACUCUAGAAAAUACAAUACACAGGCACACAAUCUGUUAGGUAUCAGAGAAAUAGUCAUCACUAUUCAUCACAUGCCAUUGUUGUCUUUGGCGAACCCUUCUGUACACUUAUGAGAGUGAGAGUAAAAAAAAGGCAAAUAACAUCUUAAUUUUCUGAAUAUUUUUGACCUUGUUGACCCUCUAAAAGGAUCCAAGGGAUCUCUCCCUCCCAACAUCCCCAGGAAUCCUCUGAUCACAUUUUGAGAACUGUUGGAUAAGUCAGUUAAUAUUGCAGGAACAUAGGCUAUCACCAUGGGGAAUAAAUGAAACCAGAUCUCUACCUCACACCAUUACAAAAAUAAAUUUUAAAUGAAAUAAAAGGCUAAAUGUGAAAAGGUAAAGGUUUAAAGCUUUGGGGGGAAAAUGUAGAAUAACUUUAUUAUCUCAAGGUAGGUAGCCUAACUAUACCACGUGCUGAAGCAGAAAUGUGAAGAAAUGGGAAUUUGCAUAGAAUCUUGGUGGAAGGGUUAGUUUUCCCACUUAUUUCAACUACUUAUUUCACAUAUGCAGUGUUGUACAAAUUUAAAGAGACAAGUAUCCUACAGACAAGCAAUUCUAUGUUUAUAUGCCCUAGAGACCUGAAGACAUUCUCAAAUACAAAAACAAAAAAGUAUGCAUAAGGAUGUUCAUUGCAGGUUUGCUUAUAAUUAGUGGAAAGUCAGGGGAUGCCCAUCAGUGCAUAAAAAAGUAAAUAAAAUUGUGUUGCCUUUCUACAAUAUAUUAUGCAACCAUUAAAAUAAACUAAAUGUCCAUAUUUCACAAGGACAAUUCUCACAACAUAAUAACAAAUGAUAUGCACUAACUUUAAACUAGUAAUUGCAUCUGGUGAGGGAAAAGAAAGGUGGACCUGAAGUCAGGUGCAAACAGCACAACUGUAUUUGAGUAGUGGUUGCAUGACUGUUGUUCCAUGUAUUUUCUGUAUGUUACAAAUAUUUACUAUUAAUUACAACAACAUAAGAUGUACUGUAACUCCUUCAUGCUGCUAAUUAUAGAAUAUCUACUUUGUUGACUAAACCCUUUAGCAUAUAUAUAUAUAGCCUAUUUCUGUUAAUGGUUCUUUGGAUAAAUAACAGUUGACUUUGUUCCUCUGCUUAGUAUUUUAAAAAACCUAUUAGUUUACCAAUCUCUUACUAAUUUUAGUUUUAAUAUUUGUAUUGUUAAGUAUUUUAAACACACAGAAAGACUAAUAAACCCCCAUUACCCAAACACCCAGAUUUAUUAAAUCUUAGUAUUUUGUCCUAUUUGUUUCAAUGGUUUUUUUAAUAAAUCAGUGACUACAAUAAAAUUGAUACCUCUGAAUCCUUCCAUUUUCUUUUCACUGCCCCCAGAUAUAACCACCAAUGUGAAGUCAGUUUUAUCAUUGCUAUGCAUGUUUUUAAUAUUUUUACUAAAUGUUUAUGAAUUCUUAAACAUUAUGAAGCAUUAUGUUAUAGAGUUUUUAAGUUUUAUAAAAUAUUAUCUAAUACUGUUACUUUAAGAAAACCUGCAGUAACCCCUUCUGAAAAAGAUUAAUCACACAUAAUUUGUUACAUAUUAAAAUAACUGCUCCUAAAUAGUGAUGUGGCCUUGAGCAAGCUCUUUCAAGUUUCUGUGAGCUCCAGCUUUUCCUUAUCUGUGUGGUAAAAGAAUAUGAGACUAUGUCUGCACUCUCUUUCAGAUUAUAAGUCUCUAUAAAUUAUUCAACUCAAAUGUCCCCAUGGGUUUACUUAAAGGAUAGUUUUGUCCACUUAUGAACAACUCUGUUUCAUCAAAAUCAGAAUUUACUGAAUGUUCAUUCGUUUUAACUUUUUUAAGUGGUUUGUCACAGAAUUCCUUUCAAUGCUGAGAUUUUCAAAUAUAUUGCAACCAUCGAGAGGACAUUCUUGAAUAUUCACUAUGAGCCUGAUGCUAUGCAAGGUGCCAGAGAUACAAGAGGGAACUUGACAGGUACAGUCUGUCUCCCACAAAGCUUAUGGCUGAGUUUUUAAAAUAUAAUUCAAGCUUUUCAGGAAUACAGUCAAUCCAUAAAGCAAUAGGGAGAAAUAUUUCCAAUAUCAAGAGGCACUGAUGAAUGAAUGUGUGAAUAACUAAAUUUUAUAACUUUUUUUUUGUAGACAUAAAAAUAAGCAUUCACUGUGUCAUCCUUAAAUAAAAUCAUUGGCAGAGUGUAGCCUAUAAAUGUCUGGAAAUACCUCGCCAAAGGCUAGAAGACAUUUUGCCAGAAGGAAGUAAUGUUUACAUUUCUAUAUUUUGUUUCUUUUUCCUCUACAUAUGCAUUUUGUCCUAUGUCUAUGUCUCCUUCUUAAUAGGCUUUGACAUGAACCCAAAGCAAAUGUUUCCUAUUAUUUUAUCUAUUUAUUGAAUAUACAUUGUUUUCUGAAUGCUAUUCCUUUCAUUUACCAGUUCUAGUAGUCUGGAUUUGCUCUUAUUUCUCUUUACUCUAAAAUGGUUUUUUUAAUCUGUAACACAGAACUUAGUGCUUUGUUAUAUAUAGGAAGGCAUUGUUUUCUAAAAACACUGGUUUACAAAAUGGAAUGUGCACACUACAGGGAAUGUGCAAAUGAUCCUUGAGGAUACAGGAAGGAAGUGUUAAAGUUUCUAUUUAUUUUGGUAACUUAUAAACUUUCUAUUUGUUACAGUGUGAGUUCUGGUGUAUAUAGUCAAGCCAUAUGCUAGUACAUGGGAUAAUGUAUAAAUAAACAUGUAAGUGUUGAUAAGUACUCAACUCUUUUUUACUGACAGGGCUUUAGGCUUUUUUUUUUUUUUAAGUUUCAAUACCACAGUUCAAAUGUGUGUGUUGGUCUUAUCUAUGUAAUUGUUUUGUGUGCUCUUUCAGGGAAUGGUGGUGUCUUGUGUCUCUUACUCUGUCCAAAGGACCUUGUAUGUAUAAAUGUGAAUAAAUAUUUAUUGAACUCCA
This is a long non-coding RNA of Gorilla gorilla gorilla (western lowland gorilla), 8617 nucleotides long. RefSeq lists it as uncharacterized. Lineage: Eukaryota; Metazoa; Chordata; Mammalia; Primates; Hominidae. The record is from RefSeq and is a predicted model, not a curated record. The transcript is spliced from 2 exons.